RNAcentral lists this ribosomal RNA (663 nucleotides) under Alcaligenes sp. Its description in RNAcentral is "bacterial SSU rRNA". It matches the Rfam family "Bacterial small subunit ribosomal RNA", at positions 794 to 1457 of the family's 1533-position model. Lineage: Bacteria; Pseudomonadati; Pseudomonadota; Betaproteobacteria; Burkholderiales; Alcaligenaceae. The record is from RNAcentral.
UCCACGCCCUAAACGAUGUCAAACUAGCUGUUGGGGUUUAUUAACCUUAGUAGCGCAGCUAACGCGUGAAGUUGACCGCCUGGGGAGUACGGUCGCAAGAUUAAAACUCAAAGGAAUUGACGGGGACCCGCACAAGCGGUGGAUGAUGUGGAUUAAUUCGAUGCAACGCGAAAAACCUUACCUACCCUUGACAUGUCUGGAAUCCUCUAGAGAUAGAGGAGUGCUCGCAAGAGAACUGGAACACAGGUGCUGCAUGGCUGUCGUCAGCUCGUGUCGUGAGAUGUUGGGUUAAGUCCCGCAACGAGCGCAACCCUUGCCAUUAGUUGCCACAUUGAGUUGGGCACUCUAAUGGGACUGCCGGUGACAAACCGGAGGAAGGUGGGGAUGACGUCAAGUCCUCAUGGCCCUUAUGGGUAGGGCUUCACACGUCAUACAAUGGUCGGGACAGAGGGUUGCCAAGCCGCGAGGCGGAGCCAAUCUCAGAAACCCGAUCGUAGUCCGGAUCGCAGUCUGCAACUCGACUGCGUGAAGUCGGAAUCGCUAGUAAUCGCGGAUCAGCAUGUCGCGGUGAAUACGUUCCCGGGUCUUGUACACACCGCCCGUCACACCAUGGGAGUGGGUUUCACCAGAAGUAGGUAGCCUAACCGCAAGGAGGGCGCUACC